Long non-coding RNA from Juglans microcarpa x Juglans regia, 174 nucleotides. RefSeq lists it as uncharacterized. NCBI's taxonomy places the organism in Eukaryota, Viridiplantae, Streptophyta, Magnoliopsida, Fagales, Juglandaceae. The record is from RefSeq and is a predicted model, not a curated record. The transcript is spliced from 2 exons.
UAUUCUCAAUACCACAUUAGCGAAUCCCACCUGAUGGCGCAAGACCCACAUCUCCAAAAUGGAGAUCAUGGGGAUAACAAUAAAUGAUGUAGAACCGACUUGAUGUUCUUAUCGCUAUUGAAAUUUGAAUCCAUCAAGGGUCUAGUAAUAACUUGGAACCUUGAACCAAGAGCA